CAGGAGGGCUGGGCGUCAGAGCAGUCGGGCGGAGACGGGCCCGGAGCAGCCCUCCAUACAAGGCAGAAAGGAACUCCCAAAGUCGGCGUCGGCUUGCUCCCGCCGCCCGGCGUGAGGCGGGGGAGCGGACCCAGCCCUGCGGGGCUCCCGGGGGACAGCCAGCCGCCCAGCGGGCAUCCACAGGCUGGAGAGCUCCAGCCGAGUACUUGGCUUGCGUCUUCGGGGGUUAUUUUUGCACAGGCAGGAACGUUCCCCCGGCCCUUCUCCAAGGCGCAGAAUCCACUGCCUGCCUAGGAAUCGUGGAGAAGUGAUUUGACAACAAAUGCAGGAGGGGGUUGUAUUUGCAUUUUAAAGCACCGCUUUCGACUCUACCAGGUGGCACUAUUUAUUUGCCCCGGAGUGCCAGAGGCUAGAGCCUCUGGCAUGGCUGAAUGAGAGUCGUGCCAGCGGCCCCACGCCCAAGUAGGGCUCACCUGGCGAGGACCAAGCCUCAGGGCCCGGGCUGAGGACUGUCAGAGGAGGACCUGACGCUGUAAAAGCUUUCCAGACCUGCCGUUCGGUAGGACGGAGUGGGGAAGGAACGAAUUCUCCUUCCCGGGAGGACAGUGCUGCCAAGGGCUUUUUAACAUCCUAGUGAGACUACCUCCAAAAGGUUCAAAACGCCCUGCUUUGGCCCCUGGGCUGCCUUGCCUUGACAGGGCUGCUGCAGGAGUGAGUUCCCUUGGUCAGUGUGAAAGAAGAAAAGGGUAGGCAGCAGGAACAGGUGGCAGUUUGCGAAAUGGCCUUGAAAGGCAGAGGAGGGAUGAAAGGUGGGGGGGGGGGGGGGGAGGUGGAUGAGCUAAGGAGCAGCCAUAUCAGACCAGUUUCACCUCCACCCCUAGGAAAAGCAAUGGUGAGGCGAGCUCAGCCCUUCUAAAAAGAGCAGAAGGGUCUUGAAUUAGGCCUCUCCCUAGGGCACAGGCCUUCUUCCAGAAGGAAAUGGUGUGCCAGUGGUGGAAAGGUUUCCUUGAAAAUCUUAAAUUCUUAAACUCCCUAUGGUAAUGUAUUGGAGCACUUUUGGCAGGAAGUGAAAAGAAUACCAUUCCUGAUGGGAAAAAAUGACCAUCCUGCAUAUGGGUAAAACCUGUAAUUAUGGGAUGGCAGUAAGAUUUUUUAAUUAGCUCCUUUUUUAGUUUCACCAGGACCUUGUGAAAAAAAAAGACCCUUAUUAAUUCAGAAUUGAUUUUCCAGCUUUCUGAGGGCAGCCUCCCCCAAACAGAGAAGACUCAUAGUACUUACUAGCCAAAAUGUUAAAGUGUAUGUGAUUUCAUGAUUCUUGACCCGGUGAUGUUUUCUUCUCCCUUCCUCCUCCUUUUUUGUGCCUUAUUUGUUUUCUUUAUAUGCUCUACAUCUCUAGCUUGCACUCUGUUUCUUUCUUCCUAUUCUGAGUGGCCUCACAAAAGGCCCCCCACAGAGACUUAACUUGGUUUGUUUUUUGCUAAGCAUAAAGAGUGUGGCCACAGGAGCUGGCAAAUGAGAAAUGAAGUGGAUGUAAUGGGAUUGAGAACUAGAGCUUGGGAAGGAUAUUUUAUGUAACUGAAGAUGGCCUUCCAGUCCAAAUUUAGAUAACCAAAUAGUCAAGCCCAUCAUUUUUUGCUUCAAUUUUUAAUGAUUCAAAAGCAGAUUUUCUUUCGCAGCAUGGGGAUUACGAAUAGCAGAAUUAGAUGCCCAUUACUGUCUAUGUGAUAUGUUGGUAUCAUAAUAGCCUCCCUACAUAAAAAUAUUGUAUUAUAUUCUGUCAAUUAUUUCAGUAAUGACUUCAGACUUCCUACUAAGAAAGUACACCGUUUCCAAUUUAUAUCUCUAAGAGGAAGAGCUUAAAGAGCAAAAGGAAUGUAAUAAACUUCGAGAAGUUCCUUCAAUUUUACUCUAAGGUGACCCAUUCUGUAAGAAUAUGAUCCUGUCCGAAUGUUCACAGCCGGCUAAAAGAAGAGUUGAUUUCAUCAAUUUGCCAAACUGGGUGAAGAUAGCCCAAAGUAAAACAGCAAACUGAGUCUUAAGUUUCAACCUAAACAAUUAUUAUCUGGAUGUUACUGCAAGUUGUUCUGUUACCCGCUGAUCAAUCUAUUUUUGCCAAGAUAACAUUCAUUUUUGUGGAUAGAAUUUAUAGUGACAGGACACUUGCAGAGUAAAUGUCAGUAAAUUACACAAAUGCAUAUAACUCUAAAAUAUCAUCUGGAUAACUUCAAAAUGUAAAUUUUUAUUUUUGUAAUAUCCUAAUAACAUUUACAAAUCCAGCUUCCAUUAGUAGGAAUUUAACUUCCUUUAAUUAUGUCACUCACAGUGUUCGUAGUCAUUAUUUAUAAUAAGAACAUGCAUGAAAAUAUUUUGGUUGGGAGAGCUGUGUAGACUUAAUCAUCUUUGUCUCUUUACUAAUACCUGAAAUUCCUUAUACUCAAGACCUGCUAUUUUUAACAGUAGAGUGUUAUGAGAUUUUCUAUGUAUUGGAUUGAUUAUGCAAUUGUUUUAAACUGCA
This is a long non-coding RNA of Mustela lutreola (European mink), 2515 nucleotides long. RefSeq lists it as uncharacterized. The transcript has 2 exons. Lineage: Eukaryota; Metazoa; Chordata; Mammalia; Carnivora; Mustelidae. The record is from RefSeq and is a predicted model, not a curated record.